Molecule: long non-coding RNA, 1614 nt
Organism: Astyanax mexicanus (Mexican tetra)
Lineage: Eukaryota; Metazoa; Chordata; Actinopteri; Characiformes; Acestrorhamphidae
Exons: 2
Source: RefSeq, a predicted model, not a curated record
UGUUUAGGGUGGAAAAUAGAGGGAAAAUCAGAAUCAAACCAGGACUAAAGAAAUACGGCUGUGAUUUGACACUGGAUCCAAACACAGCACACCCUCGUCUCUCUCUGAGUGAGAAGAACAGGAUGGCGGUGAGGAGAGAGGAGCUGGAGUCAUAUCCUGAUCAUCCAGAGGGGUUUAAUGUGUAUCUGCAGGUUCUGAGUAGAGAGAGUUUUACUGGGCGCUGUUACUGGGAGGCUGAGUGGAGUGGGAGGGGAGGAGCUAAAUUAGUUCUGACUUAUAAAACCAUCCGCAGGAAAGGAGUGCGUUUUGACCGUCAGUUUGGAUGCAAUAGAAACUCCAUGAGUCUGUUCUGCUCUGAUAAUGAAUACUCUGUUCAUCACAAUCUAAACAUCACUAAACUCCGCCCUCCUCCCUUCGGCUGUAGGAGAGUAGGAGUGUAUGUGGACUGUCCCUCCGGCAUUCUGUCCUUCUACAGCGUCUCCUCUGAUACACACACACACACACUCACACACAUUCUACACCACAUUCACUCAGCCCCUCUAUGCAGGAUUUGCUGUUUAUGAUGACUCCUCAGUGUCUGUGUGUAACAUAGAUUAACCUUUCCUGUGUGUGUGUGAGUGUGUGAGUGAAUGUUUGCGUAAGUGUAAGUAUGAGUAAGUAUGUGAUUGUGAGGGUGAGUGAAUGUGAUAGUGUGUAUGAGUGUAUGGGUGUGUGAGUGGUGAAGGGUGUGAUUGGAGAUAACCACACCUUCACACUCUUAUUCUUAAAUGUUUUAUACAUUUAUAUAUACAGUUAUUAUUUUUACUGUUCACAUUAUAAUUCACUUAAUAACCUUAUGAUCUCUGCUCUCUUUUUAACUGUCACUAUGACAAGGCUUUGGAGGUUGUUUUUACUUUUUCAGGAAUCAGGAAGGUCAGAGUGUUUUCAUCAACAAUGAGAGCUGUGAGGAGAACGUGACCCUGAGUGGCAGAGAAGCUUCACUGCUUUUCUGCUGUUCUGGGACCAGUGCAUAUGAACUAGGAGACAACAAGCUCUCUGAGUGAAGUGCUGGGAACCUCUCCUCAGAUAGCCAGCGCAUGCCUGUUCUACACGGCGUAAAGUCACACACAGGCCAGAAGAUCUUUCCAUCCACUCUUUUCCUCCGUUUCAUCUUCUCACAGACUUUAGGACACUUAAGGACUGUCUGCUGUUUUCAUGAAGGACACAGCGCUGAACAACAUCAUGAUAAGAACAGACAGGCUGGAGCGGAUCACGUCAUUAAAACUGGACAACAUGCUGUUAACUGGACUUUGCUGACGUAAUCAUAUUGAUAAGUUCUGUUCAAUCACGUCAUUUGCAUAAAUGUAUAACUGCUUGGAUGAAGUCUGAGGAGUUCUCUCUGUCCCUCGACUGGCUUUAGUUUCUUUCUCUUUCUUUCUCUCUCUCUCUCUCUCUCUCUCUCUCUUUCUCUCUCUCUCUUUCUCAUAGUGAAAGAGUUAAUGAGUGAGCCAUUCUGAACACAGCUUCUGUCUUCAUGUGGUUUAGGCCUUUUCUAUUCUUAUUCUUUUCUUAUUGAGACUGAUUUCAGCUCAGUCUCAGCUGAAUGAGAUUUAAAGAAUACACAUAUCUAAUUUC